GGGUGUCGGGUCGGCUGCCAAGAGUUUUGGUCUUGGCUCCGACUCGGGAGUUAGCCAAACAAGUGGAGAAAGAAAUUAAGGAGUCGGCGUCUUAUUUGAACACGGUUUGCGUUUAUGGAGGGGUUUCUUAUAAUUUGCAGCGAAAUGCUCUUUCCCGUGGGGUUGAUGUAGUGGUCGGAACUCCUGGUCGAAUCAUUGAUCUGAUCGAAAGUAAAGACCUCAGAUUGGGGGAAGUUGAAUAUCUGGUCCUUGAUGAAGCUGAUCAGAUGCUUGCUGUUGGAUUUGAG
This 287-nucleotide long non-coding RNA is filed under the name Gossypium barbadense (sea-island cotton). Its description in RNAcentral is "long non-coding RNA (GBAR_LNC010867)". The record is from RNAcentral. Lineage: Eukaryota; Viridiplantae; Streptophyta; Magnoliopsida; Malvales; Malvaceae.